RNAcentral lists this non-coding RNA (286 nucleotides) under Dasypus novemcinctus (nine-banded armadillo). RNAcentral describes it as "HIF-1 alpha IRES". It matches the Rfam family "HIF-1 alpha IRES". Rfam says of the family: This family represents the hypoxia-inducible factor 1-alpha internal ribosome entry site. HIF-1a is a subunit of the HIF-1 transcription factor, which induces transcription of several genes involved in the cellular response to hypoxia. Lineage: Eukaryota; Metazoa; Chordata; Mammalia; Cingulata; Dasypodidae. The record is from Rfam by way of RNAcentral.
UUGUUUGAGGGAACCGGAGGGUCGCCCUCGGCGCCGCUUGGGCCAGUGUUUCGGGGCCGGCCCUGACAAGCAGCCCGAGGAGGGCCUCGAACGACUCAAACCUGGACUUCUGCGAUUGUCGCUUCCUUUUCCUGCCUCUGAGCUCGGGAGGGGUUUCCCGCCUCGCAGCCCCCGCCCCUGGACUUGCUUCUCCUCCUCCCUCUGCGUGUGGAGGGAGCCAACGCUUAGGCCGGAGCGAGCCUAGGGGCCGCCGGCCGUGAGGCCGCUCGGGGGCCUGUUCGCCAUG